Molecule: long non-coding RNA, 1295 nt
Filed under: Homo sapiens (human)
Lineage: Eukaryota; Metazoa; Chordata; Mammalia; Primates; Hominidae
Description: MKNK1 antisense RNA 1
Source: RNAcentral
GCCACUUCCAGGCUGGCCUAUUGGAUUAUGGAAGCAGGACUCUGAGUUGAUGCUAUUGCUCUCCCCAGUCCUCUAAGCCCCUUCUAUUUCAUUCCAAGUCCAGCCUUCAACCCCAGUGCCUGAGCAGGAGGGAGGGACAUUGCUCUGACUCUUGAGUUGCGAGGACUGGAAGACCUUCACUUUAGUUCUUGACCACUUGUCUGGGCACUGCUCCUGUCUCCUGGAGCUCAGGCUGGAUGGAGUCUCUCCCCUAGUUCAGGCUGCAGCCCCAGCCGCCACAGCUACAGCGGUGAGAGCAGGCUGGAUCCCAGAUCUGCAGGCGGGUGAGCAGGUGGAGCCCAGUGAAGAGAUGUUCCUGCUGCAGGCAAUUAUGCAAAGCUCACCAAGAAACAACCACCUCCCGCCUCCACACACCCUGCAAAACUAAUUUGACUGAAAGAUGGCUUACAUCAAUCACACUGAUGAUCAAGAGCGAAGAAAGGACGAGGAUGGGCAGAAACAUCACACACACAUGCAGCACAGAGACAGGGCUGGAAGGCUGAGCAAGAGUCAGAGCUACAGUUGGAAGUAUUGGAAAGCGGCAGCGGAUUCUCGGGGUGAUGGGAAAAGCAAAAUCUGCUUCACUAAAACUCCGUCGGUGAUCAACUUUUUCAGCAGUCCUCCGAUUCCCGACUAGAAGGCAAAAGCCUGGCCCAGGCCACGGGAGGCACUUCACUAAAGAAGAAAAACCUGAGCUCCAGCAAGCUCAGUAACUUCAUCAGUCACCUAAUUGAACGAGAACCCAGAGCAACUCAGUCCAGGCUGCACAAAUUGAGUAGCACUGCUCUGCAGCUCGCUGCACUAAAAGUGGAAGAUAUUUUCCAUUACAGCAAGUGCUCCCACAGAAGGAUCACGAGCCACACACGGAGCCUUACUCUCCAAAUAGGCGCCCAUGGCCCAGUCGUCCCUUAGCCUAAGAACUCAGAGAGCCAGGCUGUAAUAAUGGGGCUGCCGUGUGAGCACAGCAGCCAUCGAGCUGCUCCGGUUCAUUUCCCAGAGGUUGAGCUGCAGUGUGUCCAGUAUUUAAAAGUAUGGAACUUGUUUCAGGGCUGACCCAUUCUUGCCCAAUUCAUCUUCCCCGUGUGAAGUUAUUUAGCAAACAGCCAAGUUCAGCUGGAAAUCGUUUUUCAUCCCCUCCAACUUCUAGUCACAUGGGCAGCUGGCCAGCUACAUGUUAACAAGCGCCUCAGAACUCCUAAGACACCACCGGCCUCUGUUCCCUUCAGUGCAUUCUUGUAAAUAAAUAAAUAAUAAAA